RNAcentral lists this ribosomal RNA (379 nucleotides) under uncultured bacterium. RNAcentral's name for it is "bacterial SSU rRNA". It matches the Rfam family "Bacterial small subunit ribosomal RNA", at positions 521 to 896 of the family's 1533-position model. The record is from RNAcentral.
UAAUACGGGGGGAGCAAGCGUUGUUCGGAUUUACUGGGCGUAAAGGGCGCGUAGGCGGCCACCGCAAGUCAAUUGUGAAAUCUCCGGGCUUAACUCGGAAAGGUCAACUGAUACUGCGGGGCUAGAGUGCGGAAGGGGCAACUGGAAUUCUCGGUGUAGCGGUGAAAUGCGUAGAUAUCGAGAGGAACACCUGCGGCGAAGGCGGGUUGCUGGGCCGACACUGACGCUGAGGCGCGAAAGCCAGGGGAGCGAACGGGAUUAGAUACCCCGGUAGUCCUGGCCUUAAACGAUGAAUGCUUGGUGUCUGGGGUUAUAAAGUCCCCGGGUGCCGUCGCUAACGCUUUAAGCAUUCCGCCUGGGGAGUACGGUCGCAAGACUG